Long non-coding RNA from Amphibalanus amphitrite, 1035 nucleotides. RefSeq lists it as uncharacterized. The transcript is spliced from 2 exons. Lineage: Eukaryota; Metazoa; Arthropoda; Thecostraca; Balanomorpha; Balanidae. The record is from RefSeq and is a predicted model, not a curated record.
CGACGUAGAAUCUCCGUCGUCCGAGAGACAUCGAACGCGGUGAGCGUAUGGUCCGUUGGUUACUUGCCAAGUACUUGCCUUCUUGCCGUACUUGCCUUACUUGGGCCGGUUUGGUCGGGUAUUCACAGCCAGCUUCAAAAUGUCAAAUGUGUCACCUGACGGCAAGAAUGCAAAGAACGCCAUCUGUCGUCACUGUCCCUGCAAAAUCCUCCUAGCUGGCGACAGCAACCACAGGGAAUUUGAAGAACAGCUCCCUGCCGAAGACGGUAAUGAAACAUGGACAGUGAAAAGCUGGUGGCAAGUCGAUGACAUGUAUAGUUUCUACAAUAUCGGCUUCAGCAAGACCGUGGGUAAUAAGAAGUACCUCGUGUGUGCUGACUGUGAGCGGGGACCGAUCGGUUACCACGACCUCGAGACGAAAAAGAGCUAUCUCGCCACUGAAAUGGUGGGGUAUUCACAAUGAUAGUCGCCUCUUGUUCUGUGAGAUACAUGGUGAUUUGGGUGUUGUCUGUAAUUGAACGCGUCAUGCUAAGCUACGCUUGCCUGGUUUUUGUCACUGGGCUGUAGUAAUGCAAGAGCUUUUUCCAUUGUCAUCGCAUUGUAUUAACUGCCUUGUAAGUGCUUGUGUGGGGUAAACUGUUGCAUUGUUCAUCAUUGUUAAAGCUACACCAUCCGAGGCCGGGUUACAAGGUUCGAACUUUUAUUCGUCGUUUGUCGGUAGGUUGAUUCGACCCCAGUUUAUUGUGUAAUGCACCUUUUUUGCCCUAAGCUUUAUCCAUUCCAGAUCUUGCUAUUUUACGCUGCACGCCACCACCGCUGCAGCUAUGAACAUUGAACAGACGAGGCCGGGCCGAAGGCCGACCGAUCUUCACUUAUCACUAGUGCACGCACCAACUACGGGCAAUGAAUAAUUGAGUCGGACUAAGAUGUAGCAUGUGCGACCGUAUCAAAGUACCGAGCCGAUGAAAACCGCUUUAUCCGUCUGCAUUAGGCAAUUGAUCAUAGAUAUUCGUAUAAUAAAUGGUACAUAACAAA